GAGGUUGCUGGAGCCUGUUUGAUGAGAGCA
RNAcentral lists this non-coding RNA (30 nucleotides) under Homo sapiens (human). The record is from RNAcentral. Lineage: Eukaryota; Metazoa; Chordata; Mammalia; Primates; Hominidae.